GCUCCGGAGCUCCAGCCCGAAGUCAACCAGGUGAUCUCGGAGCUCUAGCUAGAGACCUACGGGGAGGUCUCAGCUCCAGAGCUCCCGUCUGAGGUCAACUUUGCGACCUCGGAGCUUCCAUCUGCGGUCAACUAGGCGACCUCUGUGCUCCAGCUUGAGACCUACGGGGAGGUCUCAGCUCCAGUGCUCCAGCCCGAGGUCAACUUGGCGACCUCGGAGCUCCCACCUGAGGUCAACCAGGCGACUUCAGAGAUCAAGCUUGAGAGUUACGGGGAGCUCUCAGCACCGGAGCUCCCACCUGAGGUCAACUUUGUGACAUCGGAGCUCCCAUCUGAGGUCAACCAGACGACCUCAGAACUCCAGCUUGAGAUCUAUGGUGAGGUCUCAGCUCCGGAGCUCCUGCCCGAGGUCAAAACGCUGACAUCGGAGCUCCAGCUAGAGACCUUCAGGGAAGUCUCAGCUCCGGAGCUCCAGCUCGAGAUCAACUUGGCGACCUUGGAGCUCCAGCUUGAGACCUACGGGGAGGUCUCAGCUCCGGAGCUCCAGCGCGAGGUCAACAUGGCAACCUCAGAGCUCCGGCUAGAGACCUACGGGGAGGUCUAAUCUCCAGAGCUCCCGCCUGAGGUCAACAUGGCGACCUCGGAGCUCCCGCCUGAG
This is a long non-coding RNA of Ictalurus punctatus (channel catfish), 657 nucleotides long. The record is from Ensembl. Lineage: Eukaryota; Metazoa; Chordata; Actinopteri; Siluriformes; Ictaluridae.